GUGUCGCACGCAAUGCUGGUGAAUCUUCCACAAUGGACGAAAGUCUGAUGGAGCAACGCCGCGUGAGUGAAGAAGGUUUUCGAAUCCUAAAGCUCUGUUGUCAGGGACGAAUGUGGAGACAGAGAAUACAGGUUUCAAAUGACGGUACCUGACGAGGAAGCCACGGCUAAUUACGUGCCAGCAGCCGCGGUAAUACGUAGGUGGCGAGCGUUGUCCGGAAUUAUUGGGCGUAAAGGGAGCGCAGGUGGGCUGUCAAGUCUGUCUUAAAAGUGCGGGGCUUAACCCCGUGAUGGGAUAGAAACUGGCAGUCUUGAGUGCAGGAGAGGAAAGCGGAAUUCCUAGUGUAGCGGUGAAAUGCGUAGAUAUUAGGAGGAACACCAGUGGCGAAGGCGGCUUUCUGGACUGUAACUGACACUGAGGCUCGAAAGCCAGGGGAGCGAACGGGAUUAGAUACCCCCGUAGUCCUGCCCGUAAACGAUGGAUACUAGGUGUAGGAGGUAUCGACCCCUUCUGUGCCGGAGUUAACGCAAUAACUUCCCGCCCUUGGG
RNAcentral lists this ribosomal RNA (548 nucleotides) under uncultured Veillonellaceae bacterium. RNAcentral describes it as "bacterial SSU rRNA". It matches the Rfam family "Bacterial small subunit ribosomal RNA", at positions 335 to 873 of the family's 1533-position model. Lineage: Bacteria; Bacillati; Bacillota; Negativicutes; Veillonellales; Veillonellaceae. The record is from RNAcentral.